RNAcentral lists this ribosomal RNA (301 nucleotides) under uncultured bacterium. RNAcentral's name for it is "partial 16S ribosomal RNA". It matches the Rfam family "Bacterial small subunit ribosomal RNA", at positions 509 to 808 of the family's 1533-position model. The record is from RNAcentral.
CAGUCGCCGCGGUAAUACGAAGGGGGCUAGCGUUGUUCGGAAUCACUGGGCGUAAAGGGUGCGUAGGCGGAUCCUUAAGUCAGGGGUGAAAUCCCGAGGCUCAACCUCGGAACUGCCUUUGAUACUGGGGAUCUUGAGUCCGGAAGAGGUGAGUGGAACUGCGAGUGUAGAGGUGAAAUUCGUAGAUAUUCGCAAGAACACCGGUGGCGAAGGCGGCUCACUGGUCCGGAACUGACGCCGAGGCACGACAGCGUGGGGAGCAAACAGGAUUAGAUACCCCUGUAGUCCCUGUCUCUAUACA